CACCAUUGCUCCAUCCUUUGGGCAGGAGCCAUUUCUGAUGGCCCAGUCAGAAAUAACAGGGACACCUCUCUUGGCUCUCUUGUUGAUGAACCCAAGAUGCCCGACAAGGUCCUGCUGACUGAAGCUGUACCAUCCAACCUCUGCAAGCAUAGCGUAGAAGCAUGGGUUGAAUGUCCAUACACUGCUCUGGUUGAUGAUCAAGAGCGCCGCAAAGUCGGUGAGGUUUGGGGUGAUGGUGGUUUUGAAGCAGCCCUUCCCAGUGCACGAUGCACCGUUGGACGUGUUGUUGAUGCCCUGGCAGUUGGAGUAGCAACCGGCCACGUACAGGCCUGGGUUGCUGUGCAGGUAGCCACCAAUGAUACCCAUGGUGUUGCAACCGAUGACCAUGAAGCGGUUGCACGUGGGUCAAUGGAAACAAAUUCAAUAGACCAUUUGAGAUCAAUACUUGGAUAUUUAAAGAACUGA
Molecule: ribosomal RNA, 465 nt
Filed under: Triticum aestivum (bread wheat)
Lineage: Eukaryota; Viridiplantae; Streptophyta; Magnoliopsida; Poales; Poaceae
Description: partial small subunit ribosomal RNA
Source: RNAcentral